Molecule: unclassified non-coding RNA, 244 nt
Filed under: plant metagenome
Description: partial contains small subunit ribosomal RNA, internal transcribed spacer 1, and 5.8S ribosomal RNA
Source: RNAcentral
UCUCCGUUGGUAAACCAGCGGAGGGAUCAUUACCGAGUUUACAACUCCCAAACCCAAUGUGAACCAUACCAAACUGUUGCCUCGGCGGGGUCACGCCCCGGGUGCGUCGCAGCCCCGGAACCAGGCGCCCGCCGGAGGGACCAACCAAACUCUUUCUGUAGUCCCCUCGCGGACGUUAUUUUUACAGCUCUGAGCAAAAAUUCAAAAUGAAUCAAAACUUUCAACAACGGAUCUCUUGGUUCUG